Molecule: microRNA, 22 nt
Filed under: Arabidopsis thaliana (thale cress)
Lineage: Eukaryota; Viridiplantae; Streptophyta; Magnoliopsida; Brassicales; Brassicaceae
Description: ath-miR5648-5p
Source: miRBase by way of RNAcentral
UUUGGAAAUAUUUGGCUUGACU